Molecule: ribosomal RNA, 440 nt
Filed under: uncultured bacterium
Lineage: Bacteria
Description: bacterial SSU rRNA
Rfam family: Bacterial small subunit ribosomal RNA
Source: RNAcentral
UACGGAAGGCAGCAGUGGGGAAUAUUGCACAAUGGGCGCAAGCCUGAUGCAGCCAUGCCGCGUGUAUGAAGAAGGCCUUCGGGUUGUAAAGUACUUUCAGUCGUGAGGAAGGUGUUAAGGUUAAUAACCUUAACAAUUGACGUUAGCGACAGAAGAAGCACCGGCUAACUCCGUGCCAGCAGCCGCGGUAAUACGGAGGGUGCGAGCGUUAAUCGGAAUUACUGGGCGUAAAGGGCACGCAGGCGGUUAAUUAAGUUGGAUGUGAAAUCCCCGGGCUUAACCUGGGAAUGGCAUUCAAGACUGGUUAGCUAGAGUCUUGUAGAGGGGGUAGAAUUCCAUGUGUAGCGGUGAAAUGCGUAGAGAUGUGGAGGAAUACCGGUGGCGAAGGCGGCCCCUGGACAAAGACUGACGCUCAUGUGCGAAAGCGUGGGGAGCAAACG